CCUACGGGCGGCAGCAGUGGGGAAUAUUGCACAAUGGGGGGAACCCUGAUGCAGCGACGCCGCGUGAGUGAAGAAGUAUUUCGGUAUGUAAAGCUCUAUCAGCAGGGAAGAAGAUGACGGUACCUGACUAAGAAGCCCCGGCUAACUACGUGCCAGCAGCCGCGGUAAUACGUAGGGGGCCAGCGUUAUCCGGAUUUACUGGGUGUAAAGGGGGCGUAGACGGGAGGGCAAGUCCGGAGUGAAAGCCCGGGGGCCAACCCCGGGACUGCUUUGGAAACUGCCAUGCUAGAGUGCUGGAGAGGUAAGCGGAAUUCCUGGUGUAGCGGUGAAAUGCGUAGAUAUUAGGAGGAACACCAGUGGCGAAGGCGGCUUACUGGACAGUAACUGACGUUGAGGCUCGAAAGCGUGGGGAGCAAACAGGAUUAGAUACCCCAGUAGUC
Molecule: ribosomal RNA, 440 nt
Filed under: uncultured bacterium
Lineage: Bacteria
Description: partial 16S ribosomal RNA
Rfam family: Bacterial small subunit ribosomal RNA
Source: RNAcentral